RNAcentral lists this ribosomal RNA (497 nucleotides) under uncultured bacterium. Its description in RNAcentral is "partial 16S ribosomal RNA". It matches the Rfam family "Bacterial small subunit ribosomal RNA", at positions 28 to 507 of the family's 1533-position model. The record is from RNAcentral.
GAUGAACGCUGGCGGCGCGCCUAAUACAUGCAAGUCGAGCGAACAGACGAGGAGCUUGCUCCUCUGACGUUAGCGGCGGACGGGUGAGUAACACGUGGAUAACCUACCUAUAAGACUGGGAUAACUUCGGGAAACCGGAGCUAAAACCGGAUAAUAUAUUGAACCGCAUGGUUCAAUAGUGAAAGACGGUUUUGCUGUCACUUAUAGAUGGAUCCGCGCCGCAUUAGCUAGUUGGUAAGGUAACGGCUUACCAAGGCAACGAUGCGUAGCCGACCUGAGAGGGUGAUCGGCCACACUGGAACUGAGACACGGUCCAGACUCCUACGGGAGGCAGCAGUAGGGAAUCUUCCGCAAUGGGCGAAAGCCUGACGGAGCAACGCCGCGUGAGUGAUGAAGGUCUUCGGAUCGUAAAACUCUGUUAUUAGGGAAGAACAAAUGUGUAAGUAACUAUGCACGUCUUGACGGUACCUAAUCAGAAAGCCACGGCUAACUACGUG